Cyprinus carpio (common carp) is the source of this 1658-nucleotide long non-coding RNA. NCBI's taxonomy places the organism in Eukaryota, Metazoa, Chordata, Actinopteri, Cypriniformes, Cyprinidae. The record is from Ensembl.
UCUGAAAGCAGAAGAACUUGAUUGGUCUGAAAAAUGUGGACUGAUUAGACGAAACCCAGUGACUGCAGCAAGAAUGUUUGAUCAUCGAUGGCAUUGUUUUCUGAGAGAUGUAAUCAUGUCUUCAGCUCAACCGAUUGGGAAGAUAGUAGAUUACUUUUAUCGUGUAGAGUUUCAACAGCGUGGAUCUCCUCAUGUUCAUUGUCUGUUUUGGGGUGAAAAUGCACCGAAGUUAAAUGAAGAUGAUGAAGAAAAUGAUGGUUUGGUUGCUAGUUUCAUUGAUCGUUACAUCACUUGUGAGACCCCAAGAGAGGAUGAAACUGAACUGUUUGAGACAGUCAAUGGUGUUCAAGAAGCACAGUGUUAGACAUUCAAAGACGUGUUGUUAAAAAAAAGACAGUUUGCAGAUUUAGUUUUCCACGACCCCCAUCUAGCCGUACCUUUAUUACAAGAGGUGGUAGUCGAGACGAUUUGAAAAGCAGUGAUGGAAAAGAUACUGCACGUACAAUUUUAGAAAAAGUCAAAAAGGCUUUAACAGCUUCUGAUAUGAAUUACGAUUCAACAGAUGCAUUUUUUGAGUCCAUUGGUAUUAACCAAGCUCUCUUCGAGAAAGUGUACACAAAGUGUUCCAAAAAGAAAACCGUUGUCCUGAAAAGAAAUCCAAAAGACAUCUGGGUGAACCAGUAUAAUAAACAUUUACUGCGUGCCUGGCAAGGCAACAUGGAUAUCCAGUAUGUCACUGAUGCUUACUCUGUAGUGGUUUACAUUAUUAGUUACAUCACAAAAGCAGAACAAGAAAUGGGUUUGUUGCUGCAACGUGCGCAAUAUGAAGCCAUGAAUGGAAAUCUUGAAGCGAGAUCAUCAUUGAAAAUGCUUGGUAGUGUAUAUCUUCACAACAGAAAAGUUUCUGCUCAAGAGGCUGUGUAUCGUCUGACCGGUAUGCACUUGAAAGAAUGUUCUCGUAAAGUCCAGUUUAUUCCAGUUGGAUUGAAUCCUGUAAAGAUGAGUUUGCCUCUUCGUGUCAUCAAAAACAAAGUUGAUCAGUCUGGUGAAGAAACUAGCUUUUGGAUGACUAGUCUGGUUGACAGAUACAAGAAUAGGCCAAACACGGAGGAGUUUGAGAUUCAAUGUCUUGCAAGUUUUUGCUCUGAAAACAGGAUGUUGUCAAAAUCUGAGGUUUCUUCACAAAAAAAGUCUUCAGAAGACAAGGUGAUUAAGCUUAACAACGACUGUGGUUAUAUGAUGAAGAGAACUCGAACUGAACCUGCUGUUGUCCGAUAUCCGGGAUUUUCUCCCAAAAAAGAUCCUGAAAAGUACUUUCAUUCAUUGUUGCAACUUUUCUUGCCACAUUACGAAGAUUGUCAGCUCAAGCCUCAGAGUUUUAGCACUUAUGAGGAUUUCUACAACAAUGGUGCUGUGAAAUGUGGAAGAGAUGUGACACAAGUCAAGUGUAUUGUUGAUGCCAAUCGAGCACUGUUUGAAAAGGAAAGUGACAAAAUCGAUCGAGCUCAACAGCUUUUGGAGCAAGGUGUUGAUUUGGAAGAUGCUUGGGCUGCAUUAUGUCCUGAAACCGAAAAGGAACGUCACGAAUGCAUAGAACUAAGGAAGAGUAAUCCAAUUCCUGAUGAAGAUGAUUCUGAGUGUUCUAUUCCAGAUCUUGU